CGCGUGUGUGAAGAAGGCUGCGGGUUGUAAAGCACUUUUAUUAGGAAAGAAAAGCCCGGGAUUAAUACCCCCGGGCAUUGACGGUACCUAAAGAAUAAGCACCGGCUAACUCAGUGCCAGCAGCCGCGGUAAUACUGAGGGUGCAAGCGUUAAUCGGAAUUACUGGGCGUAAAGCGAGUGUAGGCGGCUACUUAAGUCGGAUGUGAAAUCCCCGGGCUCAACCUGGGAAUUGCAUUCGAUACUGGGUAGCUAGAGUUUGGUAGAGGUAAGUGGAAUUCCGGGUGUAGCGGUGAAAUGCGUAGAUAUCCGGAGGAACAUCAGUGGCGAAGCGGCUUACUGGACCAAAACUGACGCUGAGCUCGAAAGCGUGGGGAGCAAACAGGAUUAGAUACCUGGUAGUCCACGCCCUAAACGAUGUCA
Molecule: ribosomal RNA, 420 nt
Filed under: uncultured bacterium
Lineage: Bacteria
Description: bacterial SSU rRNA
Rfam family: Bacterial small subunit ribosomal RNA
Source: RNAcentral